Molecule: RNA transcript, 2298 nt
Organism: Drosophila grimshawi
Lineage: Eukaryota; Metazoa; Arthropoda; Insecta; Diptera; Drosophilidae
Exons: 9
Source: RefSeq, a predicted model, not a curated record
CAUAACACCAUACAGUUAGGUACACUGAACAGAAUAAUUGUAAACAAUAAAUAUUUAAAUAAAAAUAUACAUUCAUAAUGCCCUGUUUCAAGCAAGAGAAAAGCCUAUUAUUCCGCCCUCGUCGGGAUAAAACCAAUGAUAGAGAUCUGAAGGCACCCAAAGCAGUUCGACCACGAGCCAUCAAAUGCCAUGGACUCUUUGGAAUGGCCAUUGCCAGGCAGCAUCUCAUCGUUGACGAAAAGUGGACACCCGCCUCGCUAAGCGAUCAGUAUGGUGGGAUGACCGAACUACUGAGGCGUCGCGUAAUCUAUAAGCGGCAUGAGACUAAUGCCAAUCGGUUGCAACUUUUGGUGGAGAGCAAGCGAUUGAGAAAUCAAUGUGCUGAUGGGCGCACUAAGCUCCAAAAGAUAUCGCAGGGGAAUAAUACACACAAGAUACGCAACUUUUUGAUUAGGCACAAGGAUAUGCAGCGUCUCUAUCAGAAAAUGCCCAUACAUCAAGUUGUCGAUAACAUUAAUCAACGCACUUUUACAAUGCGUAAGGAGCGAGAUCGCUUGGAGUUGCGCUUGGAUCAGUUAAAGCAUACAUAUAAAGAGUUAUUGCUGGACCGAGGUGAGGUCGAGAACCUAAUUAGGUAUGAGAAUGAGUUUGUGCUAGAAGAGCAGCUCAAAUCGCGGGAGUUACUUAAGAGAAUUGAAAACUCGAAAGUACGCUUAAAGGCCAUUAAAACCAUUAAUACUACAUAUAAGAAAAUGUUGCAAGUGUUAAUACAGGACGAAAUUUUUUAUGAGCCCAUUCUGCGUUCUCUGGUCGGUGACAUGGAGGAUCAGUCGAAUUUCAUCAAGCACAUACUCUAUCUGGGUAUACCGGCCAUAUCCAAGUUCAGGAAGCUCAAUCGCGAGUUUCUUCAGCUAGAUGCUAAGUCGCGGAUGAAUGUUCAGGAGAAGAUAGAAAUCUUGGCUUCACUGAAAACUCCAAAAGCUAUUGGCGGCUUACCACAACCUAAGACUAACGAGAUUUUAUCAGCAGAUCCAAAUCGUUAUGUGCGUGAUACACAGAGCAUGUCUAUGUUAAAGAGAGAACUGCAAACCAUUGAGAAGACAAUCAAGGAGCUAAAAUUAGUGACACUAUGCUCACAGGCCAAGGAGAUAUAUCCACGCGUAAAGAGUCAGGUGGAAAAUAAUCAACAACUCAUUCGAAAAGUCGAGCAUGAAAGGCAGAAUCGAGAUAUGCUAGAGAACAAAAUGAAUUACGCAUCGAUGCUGAAAGAUAUAUUAGUUAAUAAUCUAUCUGAGGAGGAAAUUAAUCGCCUUGAGCGAAUUAAAGACCUAAAAAGAAUAUUGAAAGGUGACGAGGAAUUUGAGCAAGAAACUGUGGAGCAUAUCAAAAAUCGCGGAGAUGCAUUUGUAUUGAUUCGCAUUAGACUUUGGAAUCUAAUUGAAAUUUUACGACACAUAGAUCGUGAUCCAAAAAUGUUCCGCUCUCAGUAUCCAAAUUCGUAUUUGAAGUUGCCACUUCUCAAAUUCGAUUUGCAUAACGUGUACGCUGCGCCACCAGAGCUUUACGAGGAAGACACUGAAAAAAUAAUGAAUUUGCUUAAGCGUAAGGUUUACAAGCUGAUGAAGAGUUACAAAGCGAUAAAGAGAUCGGACAAAGACAAUAGCAGGGAAAAGUACCAUAUCGAAUUUUUAAAUACGAUCAACUAUAACCCAUAUAUUGAUGAGGACGAGGGACACGGAGCAAUAGUUGGUGAGGAUCUACUACAGGCGCAGAAAACCUUGGCAAAUAUACCAGAUCGCAAGCAGAUUAAGGCUCAGAGCUCUAGGCUUGUAGAGGAUCAUGCCAAGCUGGAUGAAAGAUAAUCAAGAUAGUAACUAAAUUUGGUUAGUAUAUUACUGUCGACGUCGUUCAAAGCACAGUAUCGGGUCAUGCCUGCUCGUAAUUUUAAAGCUAGAGUUUUCAAAAUUGCAAGGUGGAUUACUAGUAACAUUCUCCUACGAUUGAUUAAGUUACUAAAUUUGAAUGUCACGUCAAUGAUUAAUCAAUGGUCGAAGCUUAAGUUAAUAGUUGGCAUAGAAAGGAAGAUAUGUUGAAUUUUCUUAAAAACUUUUGAAAAGUAUUUAAGGAUUUUUCAAAGUAAGCUUUGAAAUUCUCUUCUACAAACUUUUCAUAUUAUUGUGAAUGAUUUAAUUCAAUUGUUAUGUACACAACAUAAUUUUGUAAACAGAUAAUUAAAAAAAAAAAUAAAAAAAAAUAAAAAUAUAUAAAUAAGCCAAAAAAAUAAGAAAAAUAAAAAAA